ACCACGGCUGGGCUGCAUUCUUGAAUUUUCAAUUCAUAGUUUUGACAUGGUUUGGACAUAAGUGCGUUACGGGACUUCUGUCACCCACGCACUGGGGUUCGGACUGGGAAAGGGACAGCCGGGUGCACGUGGGUCUCUAACCUGUUCUUGUCUGGCCCAACUUUCCCUUCCCAGGGCCUCACCUUAACCCCUAUCUGCUUCCGGCACACAGAGGCAGAUGCGUUGUCUAGGAUGAAGUCAAUGUCUGGCAUUUAAAUUUAAAAACCAGCACAGAGCAGCAAGAAAGCGCUUGGCAGGACGGGGCCGGGCCUCGGAGCCCAGCUGUGCCUGAGGACGCUGGCCUGGGACCCGCGGCCCCCACACCCCGUGCUGCAGGUGGAUGGUCAGGUUGCCGUCCAACCUCAGGGUAAGUGACGAGGACAGUCUGAAGUCCUGCCCAGAGCUCUGCAUCCUAGACUAGCACGUAAUUCAACAAGCGUUUAAGCAUCUAGAGCGGAAGAUCAGGGCGAAGGCCUCUGCUUCCUGCCCUUCAGGGGCCACAUCUGAUGGGAAAGACCAACUAAGAACUAGGAAGACAGCCAGGCCGUUUCCCGGGGUGGGGCUGGGAUGGGGCCUCCUCCUGCUUCCCUUGCUGUUGGGGGUAUUUAGCUCACACCCUUGGGUUUUCUGGCCGACAGAAGGGUUCUGGGGUCACUGGACAGCCUGGUGUGGGGGAUCUGGCCCAGGAAGUGCCUCCAAUGCACCCCGCAGCCGUGCGGAGGCGUGGUACCCUCCUCAUGCCCAGUGAGAGGAACCCCAGGGUCAGAGCGGCAGGGCCCUGGCAGGGCUACAGCAGGCCUGGAUCUGCUGGACGCUCCCAGUUUGCUUCCGUUUUGUUCUUUUCAACAAAGGCAGCUCAUUAAUGUAAAGUGUUUUUAUAAAUAAUGCAUCUUCCACCGGCCCCAAGUCCUGAGCUGGAGUUUGGGAUGUGGGCAGGCAUCAAACGCUUUCACUUGCAGACCACACAGGGACAGGCUUGAUGUCUGAAGCUUCGGGCCACUGCUCACCUAAAACGGCUCAUUAGAGUGAGACUUACUCACCAGGAGCACAGGCCAUGCUGCUCAGAAGGAAGCUGAUGGGUGCUGUCUGUGAGCCUGUGCUGCCCAGCCCACCCGGCGCUCCCGCCUGGCCCCCGGGUGCUGUCUGUGAGCCUGGGCCUUUGCCCAUUUGGUUGGUUGCGGGGGUGACCAGGGCUGACUUAGUUGGUACAAACCUCCCAAAAGGGUAGGCUACUUCUCCACCGUCUAGUGGGGCUGUUGGCCUUUGAUGAACAAGGUGAGGAUUGCUGCUCUGGGCACAGGUCUCGAGGUGCCACCUGGCAGUGUGGAGUGGUCAGUGGCCUGGAAACGGCUCCUCUUACCUGCGGGACGAGCGGGUGUGCCCAGGAGGGGCCAGCUGGCUGCACAGACCCAGAGCGAGUGCAGCAGCCCCCUGGCCGGGCCACCUCAUCGAAGCAGGUGACGUUUGUUCUGAAACUGAUUCUAACACAGGCAGGUGAUAAGUCAAGUAGAUGCAUUGGUUAGCCCUCCUUCUAUCAGGAACUGCAGUGACUAAGAGGAAGUAGGCAGAAAUCAAUGCAAAGCCAAAUAUUUGAAGGAAGCUGCUAAGUCAGGGCUUUGAGGGCCUCAGGCUACAGAGGGAGAGACGGGCAGGGCUGGUGCCCAGGUGGCGGGUGAGGCCACUUACCCAGGAUUCAGGUGGAAAGUGGGAUCUCAUCCUACACUGCCACAUCGCCAAGGGGAAAGAGUUACCAGAACUCGGCUUUUGGACGAAUACGGCAAUUUGACACAACAGCAAUUUGGUAGGGUUACAAAAGGGCUGUGUAAUGGAAAUCUAAUAGGAGAGGCCUGGGGGAGACAUUUCGCAGCCACGUUAGACAUGAAUUAUGGAUAAGGAAACAGAGUAAGCUUACAGCAGCUUCCAAGUUUGGCCGAGCACCCUCUCAGGGAACGAGUUAUUGCUGGACUUUAACAAAACAAUUCCAUUAUCUUAUGGUCCAAGGGACUGGAAAGUUCUCUCUGUGCUUCGCUAAUGGGAGUCGGGUCCCGUAGGGCCCGACCCUGUCACUGAGAGCUGAACCUGUCCCUCCUGGCUGCACGGCAAGGAGGCUGCGCUGUGCUGUGAAUGCACGGUGGUUUACGCAGGCUGCUGCAGAGUUAAAAAUACAAGUCGCGUUGGCAGGGGUUCUGCAAACACCUGCUUUGCAAGCUGUCGUCCCACAGUGACCUUGGGGAGGCCUUGGGGAACGGAGUGGGAGGGGCCAGAGUUUUAAGCACACUUCCCAGGGCAUUAGGGUCGCCUUUGUCUCUAGGAAUUGUGAGCACGCCAGCAGGGGUCUGUGAUGGGUGCGUGAGCGUGGCCCCAAGGGAAAACUGAUGGCAGCACCCAUGGCUGCCGGGCCCUCUGACCCGCUGGUGACCUCGUGGGCACAGACUAGGUCUGGUCUGCACCCACGUAGUUCAGGGGCAGCAGUAAGGUCUUGGGAUGUGCUGAGCAGCAGUUUGCAGCCACCCCCACCUUAGAGCAGUGAAGGCAGCAUCUGUCCCAGCAGUGGGAGGAAGAGGAGCUGCAGCAGGACAGCUCAGUUCCGGGUGGGGCACCGUUUCCCUCCCUCCCCAGGGAAAGAGAAGCCCCGGUGCCGGGCCAUCGGAAGCCUGCUGCUGGAAACCCUCGCUUGACACCGGAGGCUGAAAGCGAGCCGGCGCCACAUGGCACCCGCGGCAGCCCGGCCAGAGGGAGUCUGCCACCGCACAGCAGAGGCACCCGUCCAAGUCGCCGCAGGCCCCUGCACCGCCGCCAGAAAGGCCCCAACCCCCGCGUCGGGAGACGUUUCCUCCGAACAGCUGAGACCCAGUGAACCAGGGGUCUUCCAACCAUGAACUACUGUCCGGGCACCAGCAGCACCCUCUAGUGGCAGAGAUGCGCCUGGUGCACAAUUUCACU
This is a long non-coding RNA of Myotis brandtii (Brandt's bat), 2982 nucleotides long. RefSeq lists it as uncharacterized. The transcript is spliced from 3 exons. The record is from RefSeq and is a predicted model, not a curated record. NCBI's taxonomy places the organism in Eukaryota, Metazoa, Chordata, Mammalia, Chiroptera, Vespertilionidae.